GUAGGUGGCAAGCGUUGUCCGGAAUUAUUGGGCGUAAAGCGCGCGCAGGCGGUCCUUUAAGUCUGAUGUGAAAGCCCACGGCUCAACCGUGGAGGGUCAUUGGAAACUGGGGGACUUGAGUACAGAAGAGGAAAGCGGAAUUCCAAGUGUAGCGGUGAAAUGCGUAGAGAUUUGGAAGAACACCAGUGGCGAAGGCGGCUUUCUGGUCUGUAACUGACGCUGAGGCGCGAAAGCGUGGGGAGCAAACAGGAUUAGAUACCCUGGUAGUCCACGCCGUAAACGAUGAGUGCUAAGUGUUAGGGGGUUUCCCGCCCCCCUUAGUGCUGCAGCUAACGCAUUAAGCACUCCGCCUGGGGAGUACGGCCGCAAGGCUG
Molecule: ribosomal RNA, 374 nt
Filed under: uncultured organism
Description: partial 16S ribosomal RNA
Rfam family: Bacterial small subunit ribosomal RNA
Source: RNAcentral